CUGCCCGGUAGCUAAAUGCGGAAGAGAUAAGUGCUGAAAGCAUCUAAGCACGAAACUUGCCCCGAGAUGAGUUCUCCCUGAGACUUUAGGUCUCCUGAAGGAACGUUGAAGACGACGACGUUGAUAGGUCGGGUGUGUAAGCGUAGCGAUACGUUGAGCUAACCGAUACUAAUGAACCGUGAGGCUUAACCUU
This 193-nucleotide ribosomal RNA is filed under the name Salmonella enterica subsp. enterica serovar Singapore. Its description in RNAcentral is "partial 23S ribosomal RNA". It matches the Rfam family "Bacterial large subunit ribosomal RNA", at positions 2738 to 2925 of the family's 2925-position model. Lineage: Bacteria; Pseudomonadati; Pseudomonadota; Gammaproteobacteria; Enterobacterales; Enterobacteriaceae. The record is from RNAcentral.